GAUGAACGCUGGCGGCGUGCUUAACACAUGCAAGUCGAACGAAGCAUUUGCGACAGAUUUUUUCGGAAUGAAGUUGCUUAUGACUGAGUGGCGGACGGGUGAGUAACGCGUGGGUAACCUGCCUUGUACUGGGGGAUAGCAGCUGGAAACGGCUGGUAAUACCGCAUAAGCGCACAAUGUUGCAUGACAUGGUGUGAAAAACUCCGGUGGUAUAAGAUGGACCCGCGUCUGAUUAGCUAGUUGGUGAGAUAACAGCCCACCAAGGCGACGAUCAGUAGCCGACCUGAGAGGGUGACCGGCCACAUUGGGACUGAGACACGGCCCAGACUCCUACGGGAGGCAGCAGUGGGGAAUAUUGCACAAUGGACGAAACUCUGAUGCAGCGACGCCGCGUGAGUGAAGAAGUAAUUCGUUAUGUAAAGCUCUAUCAGCAGGGAAGAUAGUGACGGUACCUGACUAAGAAGCUCCGGCUAAAUACGUG
Molecule: ribosomal RNA, 481 nt
Filed under: uncultured bacterium
Lineage: Bacteria
Description: partial 16S ribosomal RNA
Rfam family: Bacterial small subunit ribosomal RNA
Source: RNAcentral